GGAUGAACGCUGGCGGCGUGCCUAAUACAUGCAAGUCGAGCGAACAGACGAGGAGCUUGCUCCUCUGACGUUAGCGGCGGACGGGUGAGUAACACGUGGAUAACCUACCUAUAAGACUGGGAUAACUUCGGGAAACCGGAGCUAAUACCGGAUAAUAUAUUGAACCGCAUGGUUCAAUAGUGAAAGACGUUUUUGCUGUCACUUAUAGAUGGAUCCGCGCCGCAUUAGCUAGUUGGUAAGGUAACGGCUUACCAAGGCAACGAUGCGUAGCCGACCUGAGAGGGUGAUCGGCCACACUGGAACUGAGACACGGUCCAGACUCCUACGGGAGGCAGCAGUAGGGAAUCUUCCGCAAUGGGCGAAAGCCUGACGGAGCAACGCCGCGUGAGUGAUGAAGGUCUUCGGAUCGUAAAACUCUGUUAUUAGGGAAGAACAAAUGUGUAAGUAACUAUGCACGUCUUGACGGUACCUAAUCAGAAAGCCACGGCUAACUACGUG
Molecule: ribosomal RNA, 498 nt
Filed under: uncultured bacterium
Lineage: Bacteria
Description: partial 16S ribosomal RNA
Rfam family: Bacterial small subunit ribosomal RNA
Source: RNAcentral